Molecule: long non-coding RNA, 2032 nt
Filed under: Homo sapiens (human)
Lineage: Eukaryota; Metazoa; Chordata; Mammalia; Primates; Hominidae
Description: ILF3 divergent transcript (ILF3-DT)
Source: RNAcentral
AUCUUACGCCCGUCGCCCUGAGUACGUUAGCGGAAAUGGCUCCGAGAGGCUUUGACGCAUGUGUACCUUUUUAGUGGCGGUAUCUCGGCCGGGGAUUUUCGGGCUCCAGUGGAGGUGGCUAUGCUCACCCCAUCUCCCUUGAGAGGCACAGAAGGUUAGAGAUGUGUGCGAGGAACGGCCAGGUCCAGCGUCUCCUCGUUGCUGCCCCUUGAGCCCGGGACCGGCGCCAAUGCGCGCCCGGGUUCUUGGGUUCUUUCGUCCCGCAGACCUGCCUUGGUGUGGCGUCCCUGGGCCGUAGCUUCCGAAGGCUGCAGCCGACCUGGUCGGGGUCCUCUAGCCCGCCUUCCCCUUCCCCCAUUGACAGAUGGAGAAACUGAGGCCCAGGCCAAAAAAUAUCUCACUAGAGGGCUCACCGCCAUUUCCUGGAAAAAUUGGGGCUGGGACUCAACGGACGCUCGUCCAGCAGCAGCGCGGAGCUCCGAAGUAAAGGCGCCCGUGACCGAGUGCUUUGUCCUUACAAGCGUGGUGUUCUUGAAUGCUUCCAGGCGCCUUAUGAGGCCCCCGAUGUACAAUCUGUGCUUAACUAAACCCCACUGUCUUCCAGGGUCAGGUUGGCCAUCCGCAGGCGUAGUUGCUAGGAAGGUUUGACAGAUGUCCGCCUGUUGAUUCAGACGUUCCCAGGAUUUGGAGCAAGAAGAGCAAGGAAGGCCAGGCGCGGUGGCUCACGUUUGUAAUCCCAGCACUUUGGGAGGCCGAGGCGGGCGGAUCACGAGGUCAGGAGUUCGAGACCAGCCUGGCCAGCAUGGUGAAACCCCGUCUCUACUAAAAAUACAAAAGAAAAUUAGCCGGGUGUGGUGGCACAUGCCUGUAGUCCCACCUACUUGGGAGGCUGAGGCAGGAGAAUUGUUUGACCUGGCAGGCGGAGGUUGCAGUGAGCCGAGAUUGCGCCACUGCACUCCAGUCUGGGCGACAGAGCGAGACUCUGUCUCAGAAAAAAAAAAGAGCAAGGAGGUGUUGAAAAUGGGUUUCCUGGCUGGGCGUGGUGGCUCACGCUUGUAAUCCCAGCACUUUGGGAAGCUGAGGUGGGCGGAUCACUUGAGGUCAGGAGUUUGAGACCAGCCUGGCCAACAUGGUGAAACACCGUCUCCACUAAAAAUAGAAAAAUUAACUGGGUGUGGUGGAGGGCGCCUGUAAUCCCAGCUAAUCAGGAAGCUGAGACAGGAGGAUCGCUUGAACCCAGGAGGCGGAGGUUGCAGUGAGCCGAGAUUGCUCCAUUGCACUCCAGCCUGGGCGAUAGAGUGAGACUCAGCCUCAAAAAAAAAAAAAAAAAAAAAUUCGCCAGGUGUGGUGGUGUGCGCCUAUAAUCCCAGCUACUCAGGAGGCAGAGGCACAAGAAUGGCUUGAAUCACUUGAACCUGGGAGGCAGAGGUUACAAUGAGCCGAGAUGGCACCACUGCACUCCAGCCUGGGCGACAGAGCGAGACUCCGACUUCCCAUCUUAAAAAAAAAAAAAAAAAAAAAAAAGAAGUGUAAAGAUGUGAUUAUGUGGCAGGGGGUAAGGGUUAAAAAGAAAACAAGAACAAGUUUUCCUCUGCUUAGCCAGCUUACUUCAAGGACAGUUAUAACACUGAAAAGUCGAGGCCAAAGGAAUGGGCUCCAGACAGCCUCCUCCGGAGCAAAGUUGAAAAGAAAAAUUCCUUUACUGUCUCUCCUUUUCUGAACCAUUAAAUAUGACUGUUUGCCAAUGGUUGUAUUUAGUAAGAUUUGUAGACUCUGUUUUUCUUUUGACACAGCUGCAAGGCCAACAGCUGUGCAAAGCCACAAGUUAUGCUAAGUCAGCAGUUAUGCUAUAGAUUACAUGACCUGUGACUGUAUCAUUAACUGCUUUUGUUUUGCUUCUGUAAGUUUGCCUAUAAAAACCACACUCAGUCUUUGUUCAAUGGUCAGCUUUUCAGAUACAAAUCCACUGAGCCGGUGUACAUCUAAAUAAAUCCUCCUGUUUCCCGUGUCAAAAAAAAAAAAAAAAAAAAAA